ACUGGAGUUCGACGUAGACGGUCUUUUCGGUAUCACCGGAAAGAAUGAUUUCUACAGUGUCUCGUAGAACUAUAUCUUAUCCGCGUCCGUAUCGUUCCCUGUUACCGACGGUUUCCCAGUCUUUGUGCAGUUAAAGCGGUACUUUGUUACAUGGAGAUCACGACAACACUUAGAAUGUCACAUUCAGGACAUCUGCUGGUCUUAUACCAACCGUACAAGCCAGUUACCAUGAACACUGUCUAGAUGGGUUCAUUGGUUGUUAUCGCUAGCGAGGGUGGAGACGUGUUUGGGUACUCAUUCGGUAAGAGGCGCGGCUGCUUCUCAGGCCUUCACGAGGGGGCCUCUAUAUUUUCAGCGACGAAUUGGACACGGAUAGACUACUUCCGUAUAUUUAUUUUCGUCAACCACACACGCAUCCUUC
Molecule: non-coding RNA, 421 nt
Organism: Pelobates cultripes (western spadefoot toad)
Lineage: Eukaryota; Metazoa; Chordata; Amphibia; Anura; Pelobatidae
Source: the annotation of a GenBank genome assembly